Non-coding RNA from Lactuca sativa (garden lettuce), 2359 nucleotides. Lineage: Eukaryota; Viridiplantae; Streptophyta; Magnoliopsida; Asterales; Asteraceae. The record is from RefSeq and is a predicted model, not a curated record.
UCCUUCCUCAUUACACGAUCCUAGAAUCCCACCGCCUCAUAACCUCUUCAACAUCAGACUCAUCGAUCUUCAACAUCAAACGAACCCGUCACCGCCUUCCCUUCUCUCUCCCGACAUCGACCUAGGUGCAGAUAUAUUCUUCUUUGCUUCUUUGUGUUACUAUUUUGCUUUCGCGUCGGCGUCAAGAGCUUGCGGUGGUGAGGAGCAUCGCCAGUGAGGGAGCACUGUUUCUCUCUAGAAGCAAUUCAGCACCACCAUCAGCACCGUCUACUCCGUUUUUGUCUGCCCUGUUAAAAUCGACACCACCACCGGAGCACCAUCAAAGAAUCUCAUCACUACUGCAGUAGUCAAUGGCCUCUAAUGAGGCUUUCAGACACAUAUAUCUCCAUCGGUGUGGAAUCUCCGCUGCAACAAAUCAGCCCUAAUUUCUUCAACUCUUCCGUUCUGCUUGACAAACUUUUAAGAGAUAGUUCACGUUGAAGAGGUUAACAAUUUUCAGCCAAUUCGUAUUGUUAAAUGCAGAGUGAACUAUGUAUGUGUCUUUGGAGUAUGUUGAUGUUCCGAUUUAGAUCAGACAUACGAUGAGUUUGAGGCUUUCUCUAACAUGCACUUAGUUUACUCUAAUCUCCCAUAAACACCUUGAACCGUGGGAGUCCGUCGACCAUAGAAACGACGACUCACCGACUGCCUCUUCGUUCUCGGUUGUGUUUGUUUCUAAUCUGUAGUGGUCUUCCUCUGGUUGCAGAUCAUAGUCGACACUCCAGGCGGCCUCGAAAUAUCUUCCGUCCUUCCAGACUAUUACUAUUGCUGGCCUCCUGCGGCGCCCACCAACUAGAAAUACGUUUCCCGUUCCAUAUCCUCGGCCGGCAACCUACCCGCUGCGGAUUCCCCGGUUUCAACCUCUCAUGUGACGAACAAAACCAAACAAUCAUCCGACUUCCGUCAUCCCGCUCAUACAUCGUCAAUAGAAUUUCCUACGUUUCACAGAUCCGGAAUAUCUCCUGUUUCCAAAUCUGAGUCUCUGAAUUCAUCCGCAUGAACAUCAACUAUCUCUGAUUCCAAGUUGAACUUUUUGGGUCAAUUGCGUCCCAGAUAAACGAAAUCACGAUUUUCUGGAUGUGUCGCUACUCCUCCUCCCUCGAGUUCAAUGAAAACUUCAGCUACAACGGACCACGUUUAUGAUAUUGACAAACAAAUUCGACAACUGAAAAAGAAGAUUCUAUUGAUGGAGGCUCAACAACAGAAAGCAGGGUGUGGUCAUGAUCCAAAACAAGAACAAGUUGAGAAGGUUGCUAAAUUUGAAGAUUGGAGGAAAGAAUUGAGACUUCUGUUGGAUGCUUCUCUAGGAUCACUAUAAAGGCAUUUUUGUUGGGAUAAAAAAGGGUCUAUAUGAAAGAAAAUGUUUUCUUCACUGCUUGACCUGAUGAGGUAAUUUCUAUCAACAGUAAAAAAAAUUACCUCCUAGAUUGUUGUAUUGUUUAAAUUAAAAAUGAAGUGGCUCUUCGGAUGCAGAGAAUUUGUAUGUUUGAUAUUUUGUAGGUAAUUAAGUUUGAGGAUCUUAAAGAGUUGGGAAGUGUGCCUGCUGUUAAGCAAUCAACUAUGAAGGAAUAGAAAACUGAUAUACAAAAUGUCAAAAAAAGGGUUUUUUUGGUGGAAAAAGAAUAGUGUAAUUGAAAUACAUGGAAAGGGAAAUGUUGGAUGAGAUCAGAUAAUCAAAACAGUGGAUGUCCAAGUCAGUCCUUUGUUUUUUUUCUCACUUUUGCUAAUCAUAGUGCCAGAUCCACCUGUAGCUAUGAAAUCAAAUUAGUACGGAUAGAUGGGUUUGCGGUUUUAUGAGCACACAGAUUUAGCUACAGUUUUAUGAGUUUUUGGCAAAAAUAUCAUAUGAGGUUAGUUUAAUUAUGUAUUCAGAAUAUUGUUUUUGGUUUUGUCCAUGGAUUCUUUUCUUCAGGGUUCUGGCUGGAAGGUGAAGAUUUCUUUUUCUUAUUACUCUCACUUUUUCCAUUUGGAGCACUAAUAAGAAGAAGGCAUCGAUGCGGUGAUUUAAAUAACCUUCCUGCUGCCUUGCUCCACGUUUGAACCAGAUGCCCUAUUAAGGUCGUUGCGUAUCUUGGUGAGAUGGCGGGGGUACGUAUGGUUGAAAGAAGAAAAAGCAAAACACUUGCAGCAACAGAUGGAAGAAGGUUGUUAUUAUGAACAUUUAAUAUUUGAAAGUAUAUUCUUAUUUGAAAAUACUUUUUAGAUUAACGGAAGCCAUUCUAACUUUAAGUAACACAUCCUUAUGCAAGGUAACUCUCAUUGCAACCCGGUUUAAUUCUUUAGAUUUGGAGCUAUAAUUGCAAGGUUGCAACAUUUUUUA